GCGAGGGUAAUUCAGCGGUAGAAUGUCAGCUUCCCAAGCUGGACGUCGCGGGUUCGACUCCCGUCCCUCGCU
This 72-nucleotide transfer RNA is filed under the name Candidatus Omnitrophota bacterium. RNAcentral's name for it is "tRNA-Gly". It matches the Rfam family "tRNA". From Rfam's summary of the family: Transfer RNA (tRNA) molecules are approximately 80 nucleotides in length. Their secondary structure includes four short double-helical elements and three loops (D, anti-codon, and T loops). Further hydrogen bonds mediate the characteristic L-shaped molecular structure. tRNAs have two regions of fundamental functional importance: the anti-codon, which is responsible for specific mRNA codon recognition, and the 3' end, to which the tRNAs corresponding amino acid is attached (by aminoacyl-tRNA synthetases). tRNAs cope with the degeneracy of the genetic code in two manners: having more than one tRNA (with a specific anti-codon) for a particular amino acid; and 'wobble' base-pairing, i.e. permitting non-standard base-pairing at the 3rd anti-codon position. The record is from RNAcentral. Lineage: Bacteria; Pseudomonadati; Candidatus Omnitrophota. RNAcentral also lists the same sequence under 1 other name.